UUGUUUGUUCAGCCGUAGAUGCCCAAGCGCUGCCAUAUCAAAGCAAGAGCAACAGAAAAGAAGAGAUAAUCAGUGCUUGAAACACAUGAACAAAACCGAAGUGUUCUUGAAUGCUACGGUACUUUACGGGUGCAUAUUGAGCUGUUACGUUAAACUACCAGAGACAAAUCAAGUAACUUCGUUCGAAACAAGCGCUCCUGAUUGGACGAAUUGCGAGAUCAAUCAAGUGUGCAAGGUAUGCAUCGCAGGAUUAUGCGUUUAGAACAAAUAUCUUACUCUUUUGACUGCUGCAGUAGUCAUUAGACUGUCUUGCUCAAUAAAAAUAAUGAAGCAUGAUGAAA
Long non-coding RNA from Rhipicephalus microplus (southern cattle tick), 341 nucleotides. The record is from RefSeq and is a predicted model, not a curated record. Lineage: Eukaryota; Metazoa; Arthropoda; Arachnida; Ixodida; Ixodidae.